RNAcentral lists this ribosomal RNA (268 nucleotides) under uncultured bacterium. Its description in RNAcentral is "partial 16S ribosomal RNA". It matches the Rfam family "Bacterial small subunit ribosomal RNA", at positions 793 to 1055 of the family's 1533-position model. The record is from RNAcentral.
GUCCACGCCGUAAACGAUGAAUACUAGGUGUGGGGGACGUGACCCCUUCCCGUGCCGCAGUUAACACAAUAAGUAUUCCACCUGGGGAGGUACGACCGCAAGGUUGAAACUCAAAGGAAUUGACGGGGGCCCGCACAAGCAGUGGAUUAUGUGGUUUAAUUCGAAGCAACGCGAAGAACCUUACCAGGGCUUGACAUCCAACUAACGAAGCAGAGAUGCAUUAGGUGCCCUUCGGGGAAAGUUGAGACAGGUGGUGCAUGGUUGUCGU